Molecule: ribosomal RNA, 301 nt
Filed under: uncultured bacterium
Lineage: Bacteria
Description: partial 16S ribosomal RNA
Rfam family: Bacterial small subunit ribosomal RNA
Source: RNAcentral
CAGCCGCCACGGGAAUACGAAGGGUGCAAGCGUUACUCGGAAUUACUGGGCGUAAAGCGUGCGUAGGUGGUGGUUUAAGUCCGUUGUGAAAGCCCUGGGCUCAACCUGGGAAUUGCAGUGGAUACUGGGUCACUAGAGUGUGGUAGAGGAUAGUGGAAUUUCCGGUGUAGCAGUGAAAUGCGUAGAGAUCGGGAGGAACAUCAGUGGCGAAGGCGGCCAUCUGGGACAACACUGACGCUGAGGCACGAAAGCGUGGGGAGCAAACAGGAUUAGAUACCCCCGUAGUCCCUGUCUCUUAUAA